RNAcentral lists this ribosomal RNA (557 nucleotides) under Trichoderma hamatum. RNAcentral's name for it is "eukaryotic LSU rRNA". The stretch from base 170 to 323 matches the Rfam family "5.8S ribosomal RNA". Lineage: Eukaryota; Fungi; Ascomycota; Sordariomycetes; Hypocreales; Hypocreaceae. The record is from RNAcentral.
CUCCAACCCAAUGUGAACGUUACCAAACAGUUGCCUCGGCGGGGUCACGCCCCGGGUGCGUAAAAGCCCCGGAACCAGGCGCCCGCCGGAGGAACCAACCAAACUCUUUCUGUAGUCCCCUCGCGGACGUAUUUCUUACAGCUCUGAGCAAAAAUUCAAAAUGAAUCAAAACUUUCAACAACGGAUCUCUUGGUUCUGGCAUCGAUGAAGAACGCAGCGAAAUGCGAUAAGUAAUGUGAAUUGCAGAAUUCAGUGAAUCAUCGAAUCUUUGAACGCACAUUGCGCCCGCCAGUAUUCUGGCGGGCAUGCCUGUCCGAGCGUCAUUUCAACCCUCGAACCCCUCCGGGGGAUCGGCGUUGGGGAUCGGGACCCCUCACCGGGUGCCGGCCCUGAAAUACAGUGGCGGUCUCGCCGCAGCCUCUCCUGCGCAGUAGUUUGCACAACUCGCACCGGGAGCGCGGCGCGUCCACGUCCGUAAAACACCCAACUUCUGAAAUGUUGACCUCGGAUCAGGUAGGAAUACCCGCUGAACUUAAGCAUAUCAAUAAGCGGAGGAA